UUUUUGGCCCGGCAUGGACCUAGACCUACACGCGGUGCCCCUGUUCUUGACUGAUUAGGUCUAUAACAUCAAGCUGAGUUUUCCAAUGGGUUUAUAGAUAACUCUCAACAAUGGAUCUCUAGGCUCUUGCAUCGAUGAAGAACGCAGUGAACUGCGAUAACUGGUGUGAAUUGCAUGGCACUUCUAAUCUAACACCAAGCGAAUCAUCGAGUCUUUGAACGCAAACGGCACCCUUCCAGUCCAUUCCAAAGCGGUGGCGGAGGAUGAAGACAAGGGUAUCUCUGGCUGAGGGUAAUGGGAACUGAUCCAGUGUAACCGUUGGUUAGCUGGGGAUUGGGCUUGCUUGGGGUAAUUGCUCUGGCUUGCCUUAAAAUCAAGCGUUGUGUGGAUUGGACUUUCAAGCAUGCAUUGGGGACGCAGGCUCUGCGCUAUGGCAAGCCCUUGACCGUCAUAGGUGCUUUGAUUGGGGUUUUCAGUCUAGCCAACAAGGCUGGGUUGAAGGACUUUGGGGCUGCAUUGGGGGCGCAAGGGCAGCUCUGUUCGUGGCGUCCGAUGACCGUCAUGAUGCAUGCGUGAUUGGACUUCAACUAGCAAUUAUCAUUAUCAUCAUCAUUACUA
RNAcentral lists this ribosomal RNA (618 nucleotides) under Cantharellus subalbidus. RNAcentral's name for it is "eukaryotic LSU rRNA". The stretch from base 100 to 295 matches the Rfam family "5.8S ribosomal RNA". The record is from RNAcentral. Lineage: Eukaryota; Fungi; Basidiomycota; Agaricomycetes; Cantharellales; Hydnaceae.